CGCCGGCGCUGAACCGGGCUCGUCCGAGGCGCGUCGCCGCUGCCGCCCUUCGAGCCCCGCCGAUCGGACUCGCGCGGGGACGGCCUUCACUUCGGCCUGCCGGGCGUCGGCAGCGGCGGCGGCGUCCCUGCCCCGGAGCUCCGGCAGGAAGGGAGGAGGCGGCGGCGGCCGGCGGGGCGCGACCCCCGCGAGGGUCUCAACAAUGGUGCGCAGCGCUGGCGCGAUCCCCGCGUCCGCCCCGCGGCCGUAGAGGAAGCGGCCGGGAGCCGCCCCCACCCCGGACCCCCCAGCCACUCGCUCCCCCGAGUUGGCAUGGCCUCGCGGGCUGGGGCUCCCGCUUGCCAGGACCUGCAGACCAGGACCCAACAGACACCUCGCUGCUCUUAGCUUGCUUUUGUCCGCUGUUUUGUUUGUUUGUUUGUUUUUCACAUCAAAGAAAAAAAUGAUACAAAUAUCUUCCAAUAUUUUGCCCAUUUUUUUCCAAAAGGCAUUGGUUUUGUUGUACUGAGACUACAUUUUGCAUUGUUCGUGUAUAUGACUCGCUAACAUUUUCUUCCAAUCUGCUGCGGUUGAUAUUUUUUUCAGAGAUUUUGCUUUUGGUGUCAUAUAUGGAAACUUAUCAUCAAUCCUCAAGCCAUGAAGUCUACCCGGCAUACAGUAAGCUGCCACACAGGACCAAGGAUUGUCUCAGUCACAGCCUGCAACCGACCAUGGAGAGAAACGUCUCAGGUGGAAGCCUCAGGAGACAAAUGAAAGACUUAAGAAUUACCAAGAUGCUUUGCUUCAGAGUGACCUCACUUUGUGUCCUGUAGGAGUGAACACAGAGUGUUACAGAAUAUAUGAGGCCUGCUCCUUUGGCUCCAAUCCUGUGGUAGAAGAUGUGAUGAAAGCUGGGCACUGUGGAAACAUGUCCAGUUACCACAGCACUCCUGUGCAGUUACUCAAGGCCAUGGGUGCCCCCUUUAUCUUCAUCAAGGACUGGAAGGAGCUUCCUGCCAUUUUAGAAAAGGAGAAGACUGUAACUUUACAAGAAAACAUUCAAAGAAGAAAAAUGUUACUUCACUGGUACCAACACUUCAAAACAGAACUAAAGUGGAAAUUUACUAAUAUUUUAGAAAGCUCAUUUUUUAUGAAUA
Meriones unguiculatus (Mongolian gerbil) is the source of this 1136-nucleotide long non-coding RNA. RefSeq lists it as uncharacterized. The transcript has 3 exons. Lineage: Eukaryota; Metazoa; Chordata; Mammalia; Rodentia; Muridae. The record is from RefSeq and is a predicted model, not a curated record.